GAUGAACGCUGGCGGCGUGCUUAACACAUGCAAGUCGAACGAGAAGUGAAGACGGAAACCUUCGGGCGGAAGGCUUUAUUUCGAGUGGCGGACGGGUGAGUAACGCGUGGGUAACCUGCCUCAUACAGGGGGAUAACAGUUGGAAACGACUGUUAAUACCGCAUAAGACCACAGCACCGCAUGGUGCGGGGGUAAAAACUCCGGUGGUAUGAGAUGGACCCGCGUUCGAUUAGCCAGUUGGCGGGGUAACGGCCCACCAAAGCGACGAUCGAUAGCCGAUCUGAGAGGAUGACCGGCCACAUUGGGACUGAGACACGGCCCAAACUCCUACGGGAGGUAGCAGUGGGGAAUAUUGCACAAUGGGGGAAACCCUGAUGCAGCGACGCCGCGUGAGUGAAGAAGUAUUUCGGUAUGUAAAGCUCUAUCAGCAGGGAAGAAAAUGACGGUACCUGAGUAAGAAGCCCCGGCUAACUACGUG
RNAcentral lists this ribosomal RNA (478 nucleotides) under uncultured bacterium. RNAcentral's name for it is "partial 16S ribosomal RNA". It matches the Rfam family "Bacterial small subunit ribosomal RNA", at positions 28 to 507 of the family's 1533-position model. The record is from RNAcentral.